GUGAUCGUAGUUCAGCCGGUUAGAGCACCAGAUUGUGAUUCUGGAAGUCGUGGGUUCGAAUCCCAUCGGUCACCCCA
This 77-nucleotide transfer RNA is filed under the name Adhaeribacter terrigena. RNAcentral describes it as "tRNA-His". It matches the Rfam family "tRNA". Rfam says of the family: Transfer RNA (tRNA) molecules are approximately 80 nucleotides in length. Their secondary structure includes four short double-helical elements and three loops (D, anti-codon, and T loops). Further hydrogen bonds mediate the characteristic L-shaped molecular structure. tRNAs have two regions of fundamental functional importance: the anti-codon, which is responsible for specific mRNA codon recognition, and the 3' end, to which the tRNAs corresponding amino acid is attached (by aminoacyl-tRNA synthetases). tRNAs cope with the degeneracy of the genetic code in two manners: having more than one tRNA (with a specific anti-codon) for a particular amino acid; and 'wobble' base-pairing, i.e. permitting non-standard base-pairing at the 3rd anti-codon position. The record is from RNAcentral. Lineage: Bacteria; Pseudomonadati; Bacteroidota; Cytophagia; Cytophagales; Hymenobacteraceae.